RNAcentral lists this long non-coding RNA (1074 nucleotides) under Phoenix dactylifera (date palm). RNAcentral describes it as "long non-coding RNA (PDAC_LNC007519)". The record is from RNAcentral. Lineage: Eukaryota; Viridiplantae; Streptophyta; Magnoliopsida; Arecales; Arecaceae.
AGCACCAUGCUCAUAUCUAGUAAGUACACUGAAGCACAUUAUUGCAGAAUCCAGCACUGUCAGAGGUUUAUUUGUUAGAGAUUUCACUUUUUGGUGGGAACACAGUUAAUAAUCUAAAUUUUAUCACUUCAGGGACUGUUUUUACAUAAUUUAAUAAAGCAAUACAGAACGAAGGACUUUCACCCUCCAACUAAGGGGCCCACAUGACUUGUUAAGAGUUAUUUCAAAUAGGGAAGCCUUGCACAAAGAGGUAAGGGAACCAUUCGAAACCAUUAGGGAGUUUUCAUCAGUACAUCACUGUAAUUCAUAUUCAAGAGUCACGAGUCACGACAAAUCAUUUUGUUAAUUAGAAAUGUAUUAAAUGAUGUAAUAGGAAAGGAUUAGAAGUUUUUGCCAGAGAAAGUGAUAAAAGAAGGCUUUAAGAAUUGGUGAGGCUCUUUGACCAUUAUAUCCCGAAUCUUCAUUAUCAAUGAGAAAGAAACAUUUUUGCUGAUAUUGAGCUCUUUUAUCCAUCUGGCAGCAGCAGAAGUCUGCUGUAACUUUCUGGUUCAGUUAAUAUCACUUUCUUUAUUCCUCACUUAUUUCAUCUGCACAUGCAACUUGAACCCUAGCAUCAUACCUUGCAACUCUUUCAUCCAUUCAGAUAUCAGAAGGGAAUUAUACCUUACAUAUCAUUGCAUAAAGAAUAUCUAAAUAGAAAAAAUGGCAGCACAAGAAGUUAGACCGAAGAAGAUAAGCAGAGAUGCAAAGGAUGAUUAAGCAACCUAUACAAGAUAUUUAACAUCUACAGCUUAAAGCAUGUCCGUAAACCUGUGCUGCAUCAUAGAAAUAAACCACAUAAUGGAUCCCCUUGAAUAUUUCGAUAGGAAAACUCAAUGACGAACAACUUAAGGAGUUCAAUAAACCAUUUCAUGAAAUGUUAAGAAACUUGGUUUCAAUAUUGGUAGCAGCCAGACUGCAUGAAUUUCAAUUGCAGCAGUUUUGGUAGUUCACUGGUUUCACUUCAAGCUUCAAUAAUUCUUGUAAAUUAAGAAAACCGAAGAAAAUAUCAACCAAAAUAUUUUAGAAGGUGAA